UCCCUGGUGGUCCAGUGGUUAAGACUCUGUGCUUCUAAUGUACGGGGCACAGGUUCAAUCCCUGGUCAGGAAA
Bos taurus (domestic cattle) is the source of this 73-nucleotide non-coding RNA. Lineage: Eukaryota; Metazoa; Chordata; Mammalia; Artiodactyla; Bovidae. The record is from Rfam.